Long non-coding RNA from Triticum dicoccoides, 3019 nucleotides. RefSeq lists it as uncharacterized. The transcript has 8 exons. Lineage: Eukaryota; Viridiplantae; Streptophyta; Magnoliopsida; Poales; Poaceae. The record is from RefSeq and is a predicted model, not a curated record.
ACCCAUUAACCGUCGCGCAAGGGGGAGCAAAGAGCUAUGCCAUGUCGGGAGAUUUUACUGUCACAGGGAUUGGGAUCACAAGGUAAAUUCCCCAUGAAGGUAGCCCACUCACGCGACCUCCCCUCUCUCUCGUUUCCUCUCCCAUGUAGCCCGCCGCCGCUAGCGUCGCCAGCGGAAGAGGAACGGGCCGCGCUCUCCCACGCAGCCACGCCAACGUCGUCACGCCUUGUGGGAGGAGAAGGUGACGACGACGACGGUUCGAUCUGUGGUCUGCCUCGGCAUGGCAUGGGAGGCAACGGAUCGAUCCGGUCAACCCAGCGUCGUCACGCUCAAGGCCGUCCGCGGCAGCUGCAAAUUGAGGCGGCGACUACAAAUCGAAGGAGCUGAAAGGGACAGACUACCGGGAAGUCAGGGGCUACAUAUCCCUCCUCUCCUUGAUUUUCUCUCCAAAAUCAGAGGUAGAGAUGCUGAUGACUACAAAACUGUGCAAUCUUGGCCACCGGUUCCUCCUCGAGCUCCGAACACCUCUUCGUGCGCGGCGACCGAUGCAGCGUCACCUCCAUUGCCGUCACCAUCUUCCCAGCCGUGGCGUCCAGGAGCUCGUCGUCGUCCUCGUUCGACGCCUCCGCCUUUGAGGCCAAGAGGCUCUGCCUCGAUGCCGACGCGCGGGCCGACACCGCCGUGAGGCCGAGGGCAUCACACGCAACCCCCGCCACAUCCACCACCGCAUCUCUAACUUCGAUGUCGCAAUCGUCACUGCCGAUUUGAAAAGGAGGAUAACAAUGCGCCGCUUCAUCACUGAGUUACGGAGGUUGGGCGUGUUGACGGAUGCACAAUGCGUGAAGGUCAUGUUAAAUACUGAGGAAUUCUUUGACAGACCCUAUAGCAAUGUGGCAUCUGCGGAUGGAGAUUGCUAGCAAUUCUACUGGUGGUUGAUUUUGGCGGGUGGUACAAACUUGAUUCAAAAUCUGCAGGCAGCAACUCUUCUCAUAUGAUAGAACACUCUCAAGUAUCAUUGCUGAAAGAUGUCAUUGUACCUUACACACAUUUGCUCCCUACCAUGCACCUAUCAGAAAAUAUGGAUUGCCCCACUCUUCUGUACUUGAAGGGAGCCAAACACAGACAUCAGGGUGGUUUGUUGCGUGAAAAACUGUGGGACUUGAUGGUUAAUGAGCCUGAUGUUAUCAUGGAAGAAGGUUUUCCUAAUGCCACACGACAUGGGCAAUCAAUUAAAGGGAUGCGGGCAGUGGCGUAGGCAGCCCUGAGCCACGCCCCGGGCCAAUAGUCAGUGCUACAGUAGCUACAGUAGCUAAACUGCUACAAUUACCAAAAGAUAUCAGCCACACGCCCCGGGCCAUGGCCCCCCUAGCCUGGGGCCUGUCUACGCCACUGGAUGCGGGUAUCAGAGUUGGCCGAUGCAACAUCACCGAUUUGGAAGGAGGGGUGCAAAUCUGAGGAUGGAUUGAUGAUAUAGUUUUUAAACUGUGCUUGCUGAUAAGAACUACUCUACAUGUUUUUUACAGGUUAAUUGUGAGGAUGUUGUGCUUUAGAGAAAUGAUUUGCAUGUUGCAAGCUUGUAUUUCUAUAUAGCAAGCCACAUGGCGCUAGCAACUCGAUCUGCCAUACCUAGGUCGACGAUGCGGCAGCCUCCAUUGCUGUGUCCGGAGGCGAGGAGGGGGAGCAGCCGCUCCCGGACGAGGUCGUCUUCGGCACCUAGAUCCUCUUCAUCAAUCUUUCCCACCUGGACGAACGCACCAUCACCUCUUCAGAUCACAUCACCCUCUUUCUUUCCUUUUCUCUUCAUUCCUCUCUGUUCCUCUUACGUUUCUCUCCUUGGACCACUCCAGAAGGUGUCAAUUUGUACUAUUUUUUCUUGUUGCCUUGUACAAUCUGUCAAUCAUACACUCCUGACCUGUAUGUAUGUGCUGGCUGAUUAAUUUGUGCAAUACAAAGGACAUAUUUAACACAAUACAAGAGGCCAUGGCAGACCAAUCUUGCAAUUUCACCUUCCAUUUGAUAUCUCUGCUCUAAGAUAAGAUAUGACACACAUCUGCUUGGAAAUGGAGGCGGUUUCGUCUUGGUCUGUGUCUUUGUCAUCCGGCAAGUGUCUAGAUUUCUUUUAAUUUCUUGAGUAUUUUUCUUUUAAAAGCCGAAGUGCAGUGUCAUUCCGUUGAGGAGGUUAGCUCUUUUGCUCUUCACAAGUUUCUGCUGAUAUUUGACUAACGUGGUACUAUGAUUCGGCACUAUCAUUUUUGUUUGACUUAUAUACUUCCAUGUUUUUCCUUGUCAGAAACAUUCAAGCCACUGUAACAUGUUUCGUAAGCAAGACCUUAAAUCGUGUUUCUGGAUCUGUCUCAACAAGGAUAUGAAAGAAUUACCAUCACUAUAGCUGGAUAUCAUACAUGAUAUUGGGGAUACAUACUUGCUAUGGUUUUCCCAUUAUAAGGGGAGCACGUCCAGCUAUCGUACGAGAAGAAGUGCGCGCAGCCAAGGACCCAGGAUGCCAGUGGUGUGCAGCCGUUCGCAUCGAGAGGACCAAGGCUGCCAUCAGGGACCUCCGAACCAAGCUCGACAUCUCCGCCGCCUCAUUGACUUCUGCGACGACUCAUCUCAAUGUACAUGUAUUUAUUAUAGUGUGCUCGAUCUGUCCCCCCAAAAACCCUGAUGCUGCCUGUGUUUGAUCAAUGUUUCGUAUUUCGGUGUUGUAUGUACAUGCUGGCAAAGAUGUGGCGAGUCAUUGGCGACGUGCACCGGGUGAUGAAGCGCACAACAAAUGAGGUUGAGGUGAGGCAUCAGAGGCAUGCCAGCCAACAUGUGAGGCAAUUCCUAUUGUUGUAUCUUCUGUCGCCAUGCGGCUAGAUGCUUCUGUCGAUUGAUGGCAUUUUAGUUUCUUUCUCACGUGGUGCAUCAGUAUAAUAAGUUUAUGAAAAAUUGCAUGUAUGUGUUAUCUAGACCCAAAAGAAAAAUUGAAGGGGCGUUUGCACUGCUCAGUACAUUCUCUGAAUAUGUUGCAUUUGCA